Molecule: non-coding RNA, 331 nt
Organism: Misgurnus anguillicaudatus (oriental weatherfish)
Lineage: Eukaryota; Metazoa; Chordata; Actinopteri; Cypriniformes; Cobitidae
Source: RefSeq, a predicted model, not a curated record
UGUUGAUUUUACAGAGUUCGCUACUCUAGAGUGGUCAGGUGUUAGUUGUAGUGUUCGUUUAUAAUUUAUCAUCACUCACAGUGUCAGAAACUUCCACAAGGGGGUGUUGCUUUCCAGUGUUCCAAUAAUAACGUUUGCGGGGAGUUAAGAUUCACGCCACGCCCCUUCUUUCUGAAGCGGGAAAGUCAGUUACUCAGCAUCGACCGACCUGGACUCACGUUACUGAGGUUUGGAACAUGCUGCUGAAGUUGGUUAUCAGGGCUCCAGGAAAUGUAUCAAACUGCAGGAUUGAUUUAUUUUUGCUCAUUAGUGAAGGUGGUAAGCUAAACUG